Molecule: non-coding RNA, 29 nt
Filed under: Mus musculus (house mouse)
Lineage: Eukaryota; Metazoa; Chordata; Mammalia; Rodentia; Muridae
Source: RNAcentral
UGCAAGGUGAUUACUUGAAACUCAACUUG